AGUGCUGUCUCACACCUAGCAGGGAGGCGAUAGAGCAACAACACUUGCCUUGCUAUGUCUGUCAUCGUUUCUUUACCUGAAGUGUAGUGAAAAAGCUUGAAAAAUGCUUCUAGGCCUACAUUAUCAAAAGUAGAACAACAGUCUAGUAUCCUGGAACCUUACCAAUCAAUCAGUCAACCAAUCAACGUCCUAGGCGCUGUCCUCAUUGCAUCAAAAAGGCCCUGCUUCUGCUACAGCAUCAGAGCCGCUAAGGCCGUAGUUUGCAAAAUGAAAAUAAGAGGGAAGAGAAGCAGUUGCCACGAAGCAGUAAAAGCAUCAUUGCAGGAAGCGCCAAAAUACACAACUUCUGCUGCUACCCCGACUGACUUUAUCACCCGUUAACUGCAGUUUAUAACGACAUGGCGGUCACAGCAAGAACACAUCAAUGAGGACAUCUGUGAGAGCUGGGUUUGCAUCCAAAGUACGUUUACUUUCUGAGAGCCACAAUGUUAUGUGUUGAAGGCAUUUCUACUCCCUGAUGGUCUCCGUGGAGAAUUCUGAGGGAGCUGUGGUAUUAUUCAGCGGUAACUUCCCAGGUAAGGGCAUGGGGAUGCUUCAUGUGACUUCCUGCUAAUAUCCCAAGGCCCCAGGCUCUGAAUGGCAGGAUGUCUGUUCUCCAGCUGGUUUUCCAACAGGAAGAGAGGAUCAAAUAAACAAUGCUUACACAGUAGUUUUUCUGAAACCACAGCUCUGGAGAGAUGUGCAGAGAGCCAACUGAAAGAGCCAGCUAAAGUCACCGAGUCU
Molecule: long non-coding RNA, 783 nt
Organism: Alexandromys fortis (reed vole)
Lineage: Eukaryota; Metazoa; Chordata; Mammalia; Rodentia; Cricetidae
Exons: 3
Source: RefSeq, a predicted model, not a curated record